AUUGAACGCUGGCGGCAGGCUUAACACAUGCAAGUCGAGCGAGCGGCGGACGGGUGAGUAAUGUAUGGGGACUGCCCGCUAGUGGGGGAUAACUUCUGGAAACGGUGGCUAAUCCCGCAUACUAUCGGAUAACCCAUAGGGGAUUAGCUAGUAGGUGGGGUAACGGCUCACCUAGGCGACGAUCUCUAGUUGGUGUGAGAGGAUGAUCAGCCACACUGGGACUGGGACACGGCCCAGACUCCUACGGAGGCAGCAGUGGGGAAUAUUGCACAAUGGGCGCAAGCCGGAUGCAGCCAUGCCGCGUGUAUGAAGAAGGCCUUAGGGUUUUAAAGUACUUUCAGCGGGGAGGCGUUACCCGCAGAAGAAGCACCGGCUAACUCCGUGCCAGCCGCCGCGGUAAUUC
RNAcentral lists this ribosomal RNA (403 nucleotides) under uncultured bacterium. Its description in RNAcentral is "partial 16S ribosomal RNA". It matches the Rfam family "Bacterial small subunit ribosomal RNA", at positions 30 to 526 of the family's 1533-position model. The record is from RNAcentral.